Podarcis lilfordi (Lilford's wall lizard) is the source of this 81-nucleotide non-coding RNA. NCBI's taxonomy places the organism in Eukaryota, Metazoa, Chordata, Lepidosauria, Squamata, Lacertidae. The record is from the annotation of a GenBank genome assembly.
GCACUAUCCAGAAAAUAGCUCUGUCAUUAGAGUAUGAGACUCUUGAUCUCAGGGCCGUGGGUUUGGGCCCCACCUUGGGCA